Molecule: long non-coding RNA, 33436 nt
Filed under: Erythranthe guttata (spotted monkey flower)
Lineage: Eukaryota; Viridiplantae; Streptophyta; Magnoliopsida; Lamiales; Phrymaceae
Description: long non-coding RNA (EGUT_LNC000406)
Source: RNAcentral
AAAAUGCCAACCUUGUCAAUUUCAUGCAAACUUUAUUCAUCAACCGCCGGAGCCAUUGCACCCUACUGUUGCCUCAUGGCCCUUUGAUGCUUGGGGUUUGGAUGUGGUUGGACCUAUGACAAAAGUCUUCAGCUGNNNNNNNNNNNNNNNNNNNNNNNNNNNNNNNNNNNNNNNNNNNNNNNNNNNNNNNNNNNNNNNNNNNNNNNNNNNNNNNNNNNNNNNNNNNNNNNNNNNNNNNNNNNNNNNNNNNNNNNNNNNNNNNNNNNNNNNNNNNNNNNNNNNNNNNNNNNNNNNNNNNNNNNNNNNNNNNNNNNNNNAAAAUUUGUGAAAGUUUGGCUUCAAGCAAAGAAAGUCUUCAAUGUACAACGCAGCCGCCAAUGGACUCGCCGAGGCCUUCAACAAGACUUUAUGUAAUUUGCUGAAGAAAGUGAUCGCCAAGUCAAAACGUGAUUGGCACGAGAAGAUGGGAGAAGCUUUAUGGGCUUAUAGAACAACGUAUAGAACACCUACUCAAGCCACUCCAUAUGCUUUGGUGUACGGUGUGGAAGCAGUCUUGCCUCUUGAAAAACAAAUUCCAUCAUUGAGGAUAGCUAUACAAGAAGAACUCACUCAAGAAGAAAAUGCCCGUUUGCGUCUUGCAGAAUUGGAAGCUCUUGACGAGAAAAGAUUAGAGGCACAACAAAGUAUUGAAUGCUACCAAGCUCGUCUUUCUAGGGCGUUUAAUAAGAAGGUGCGGCCAAGAUCGUUUCAAGUUGGAGAUUUGGUACUUGCCGUAAGGAGGCCCAUCAUCGUCACUCACAAAACUAGGAAUAAAUUUACUUCAAAGUGGGAUGGUCCUUAUGUCGUCAAAGAAGCAUACACAAAUGGAGCGUACAAGUUGGUUGCCGAAGAUGGUUUAAGAAUUGGUCCGAUAAAUGGAAAGUUCUUGAAGCGGUACUAUGCAUGAAGCGGAGGAGAAGGCUCCUGGCCCGCAUGAGUUGAAACUGUGCACGGCUAAAAAAAAAAAAAAAAAAAAAAAAAAAAAAAAAAAAAAAAAUCUAUCUUUUUUCUUUGAACUACGUUAUGACUUGAUCCCACUCGGGGUACGUAGGCAGCUUAAAUAUUCUCUAAGUUCAGUCCUUUCCUAAAAAAAAAAAAAAAAAAAAUCUAUCUUUGUUUUCUUUGAACUACGUUAUGACUUGAUCCCACUCGGGGUACGUAGGCAGCUUAGAUAUUCUCUAAGUUCAGUCCUUUCCUAAAAAAAAAUCUAUCUUUUUUCCUUUGAACUACGUUAUGACUUGACCCCAUUCGGGGUACGUAGGCAGCUUAGAUAUUCUCUAAGUUCAGUCCUUUCCUAAAAAAAAAAAAAAAAAAAAAAAAAAAAAAAAAAAAAAAAAAAAAAUCUAUCUUUGUUUUCUUUGAACUACGUUAUGACUUGAUCCCACUCGGGGUACGUAGGCAGCUUAAAUAUUCUCUAAGUUCAGUCCUUUCCUAAAAAAAAAAAAAAUCUAUUUGUUUUCUUUGAACUACGUUAUGACUUGAUCCCACUCGGGGUACGUAGGCAGCUUAAAUAUUCUCUAAGUUCAGUCCUUUCCUAAAAAAAAAAAUCUAUUUUUUUUCCUUUGAACUACGUUAUGACUUGAUCCCAUUCGGGGUACGUAGGCAGCUUAAAUAUUCUCUAAGUUCAGUCCUUUCCUAAAAAAAAAAAAAAAAAAAAAAAAAAAAAAAAAAAAAAAGAAUCUUUAAAAAAAAUAGGGGGACCACAAGGGAAAAGGAAAAUUUUUUUUUUUUCAGGAAUCAAAAAGGGGAAAUAACCAUUAAAAAAACCAAAAAUUAAAAAAAUAAAAAAAAAAUCAUCUAAAUCUAGCUCAAGCAAAAGGGUCUAAAUCCGUCCAACUUUUCUUUGGGCAUCUUCUAGAAGCUCGGCAGAAGCGCGCAAUUCGUCUACCAAAUCAUCACUUAAAGGGGAUGUAUUUUCAUGGCAGCAAUCUCUUCAUUAAUCUCACGAAUUUCUAUUUUAACAGUAUCAAGGAGUUCUCGUUGUUGUUUUAAUGAUGAUCUCAACUGUCCCACCCUCAGCUUCAAAGUAGCACGCUCUUUCUUAACACUCUCCAAAUCAUUAUUGGUGGCUUGAAAUUGAAGAGUCUCUUUGUGUUCUCUAGCUUGAGUAUUAUGCAAACGAUCUUUAGCCCCAUCUAAUUGUCGUGCUAGAAUCUCUUUAGAUGCCUUCUCAGUGUUCGACGACCUCACCUUAUCAUAAGCCGUCGCCUGGGAAAAUAAUGACUUCAAUAAUUCUUCUAUGCAAGAUAUGUCGAAAUCACCAAGAUCCCGCAUGGUUCCAAGAACUAAUUGGACAUCUUCUUGAAUAGACGAAAUGGAAUCAAUUGAAGUCCGUACUAUCCUCGCACGAAGAUCUUGCCAUAAUUGGCGAAGAAAAACCCGCUUGUGAUUUUUCAGGAAAUUCUCACCCACAAAAACUGAACAAGCACCAUUGUACGACCCUUUCGCGGUCUCUUUCAUCUUGGAUGUUCUGGCAGGCAUCAAAGUAGUCGGCGGCGAAGCUGCACCCGUUGAGCAAGCAUUGGCAGUGGAGUGAUGACUAGCUUGAGAUUCCUCGCGAUCGUCAACGUCAAUUAUCUCCUUUUCCAACUUAAAAAAAAAAAAAAAAAAAAAUCAUUAUAAAAAAAAAAAAAAAAAAAAAAAAAAAAAAAAAGGGAAAAGUAUAAAGUGCAACCUUCUCAGCAAAAGUGUCAUUUGUUCGAGAAUGACUGUCCACGUUGUUAUCAAUAUGAAGAAGAUCUUGUGGUUUUGAAGAUUGCGGGUCCCUCUUCGGCCUUUUCCAAUGACGCUCUAUAUGGCUAUUGUCACUCUCAUCCGAAGGAGGCAAAACGUUCUUCUUCUUUAUAUCUCUAGGAGGAUUUUUGGUUUGGAGAACAUUUUCGCGAGAAAGAUUGUCGAGACUACCUCUUGCCUCAUCUUCUUUGUCUUCAAGUGGAAUCUUACUUGACUCCAAGUUCAUCAGACUCGCAGCUUUAUUUUCAAGAUAAGUUCCGUAAGCUUUAGUCCACCAUCUCUUAUAGUCGUCCGUGUGAAACUUUCUCGGAUUUUGAGGAACGAUGGAAAACAUCACUUUAGACAUGGACUCGAGCAAAACACAUAGACGCCAAUAACGGAGUCCAUCUAUUAAAGAAGCCUCGCGAACGUCUUCAUCAAGUACUCCCGGAACAUCUUGGUAAAACCCAAAUUGACGGCUAAACCGAUGAGGACUAUAUGGCUCAAUAACGAAACGAUUACCACGCCGCAAGGAGAGAUAGCUCGAGCGAAUGGCGAUGAAAUAAUUUCUCUCGAACCCUUUAGUUGUUCCAUCAUCAACAUAUAAAGAAGACUCGCUCCUAGGGAUCGUGGUGCAAGUCCAAGACAUAAGAUCUCCUUUGUGAAUCCGUUUGCGUGCAUCCGCGGGAGUGUAGUAUCUAGCGCUUCUUUCUCCGGAAUAAGAUACCAUCUUUGGGCCAUCGACGGCUACGCCUUGCGGAACUUGACAAUGGGUCUUGAAAUAAAACGCCAACCAACUAUAGACGAAGUGAAUAGGAAACGGAGAAUUCUCUUGAUGGGGUCUCAAGGAUCUCGAAAUCCUAUUUAUGCCAUUGAAGAUGCUUGCCAAGACAGGAACUGCAAGAGAGACUUCUUCGCCACUCGCCAUUAUGCUAGCCAUCUUGAAUGUUGAAGGACGUAUCAUGCCCACAUCAUCAAUAGGGAGGACGAAGGUGCAAAGCCAACAAGCCAAAUGGGCCGCCAAGUACGUCUCGGACCUCAGUUCGACAUCAACGCUAAUGCUCGAAAACACAGCUUCUUCAAUGUUGAUCCAUUUCGCAUGUGCUUCAAUAUUGCCGGAAGGAUUGUGAGUUGACUUGGGGCGAACACCUUUCUUUUCUUUGCGCGGAGGAGGUUGAGUGUACUUCUUCUGCUUCUUCGACCAAAACUGAAUCCAGCUUUCGACAGAGACAUUGGAGGACGGAUCUUUAGAGCGCUUCCGAAGUAAGUGGUAGGCAUGGAAUAGAUGUCGGCAGGAACGGUGAGAAUAUCGAACACCCUUUGCAUCGGAACCGACGAGUUCUUGAGAGGCAGGGACAACUUCAUCGUAAAGCAGCCCGGUUAACGAUAGCCCGGAGAGGAUGUGCAAAUCCCAUAAAGAGAUAGACAUUUCUCCGGGAGACGUCAAGAGGGUAUUUGUAGUCGGACACCAUGCCUCGAAGAACGCCUUCAUAAUUUCGGAAUUGUAGUCGUACGUGAAGAGGGAAGCAUAUACAGGAUCAUAGAUCUUCGCGGACUUCAGCUUGUGCUGGCAACGACUGAGAACGUCUUCGGUCCACUCCCAGUACCCUUUGAAGAAUUGAAAGCCGCCGGAAAGCUCGAGAGUAUCUCCCCACUUGACUCUUCCAUUCACGAUGUUGUCACCCAAAGUCGGCAGAAGGCUCGGACCGCUUGACUCUUCCGGAAGCAAGGAUCUGUCGGGUUUAUGAUUUGAUGCUCGCAAGCUAUACACGUACUCGUACUUAUUAUGAGGAUGCUCGUGGGACCAAACGGACAUGCGAUUCGGAGUCGUGAGGCGUGGCCAUUGCUUUGCGUAAGAACCAAUAAGGGGGGCAUAAAUCGUCAAGACGGUUCCUUUGUCAUUCGGUUGGUAGCGAUCGUCAAGAAUUACCAAUUGCUCGUCGCCGGAAGAGGAGAAAGCUUGCUUGAAACAAACCAUCGCAAAACCUGUCAAAACAAUUUCAAAACAAAGAGCAAUUAGUUUGACAAAAAAAAAAGGAGGAAGAAAAAGAACGGGGGCAAGGAACUGCGCUAAAAUCAAAUACCAAAUCUGUCGAGUUGCGAAACCUGGAAAAGGAAAACAGUAUUUUGUUUUGGUAAGCAAUCGAGCAAAAUAAACGGGCAAAACUCGAAUUUAAAAAAAAAAACAAAAAAAAAAAAAACAAAAAAAAAAAACAAAAAAAAACAAAAAAAAAAGGGGAGAAAGCAGUUCUUAGUGUCAUAUUAUCAAACACCUGGCGGACGUGUUCAAAGAGUCUGAUUAUGCGUAUAUUUUAUAUGCAAAACUGACCUGGAAUCGAUUACAAGUAGCAGACAGAAGCAAAUAAUUGGCAGGUCGUUGGAUUUGUGAAUGAAAAAAAAACGAAGAGGGCAUCCCCCUUUUAUAAGGGAUAGAUGAAGCUAAUCCCACAAACCUUAGGUUUCUAAUCAACCAAUCAAAAGAAAGCAUAAUCUCAAUAGAAGAAGGAGUGUUCAACUUGUCCGUGAAACCAAAUUGCAAUGGGAAAAGGAGUGUUUAUUUUGCAGAGAAGAGUCACUGCCCAUUAAACUUCGAUUUGAAUUGGAAGAGAACUGCCCAUAUAGAAUUAAAAUUCUCUCAUCGUACGAUCCUCAUGUUUCACUCGAAGUAAAUUAAAAUUCCCAACUUAUGAUGCAGAGAAACCCGUUGAAGUUAGAAGUUCAAAAUUACGGUGUUGCUGCGCGAGUGUUUCAAAAAAAAAAAAAAAAAAAAAAAAAAAAAAAAGAGAUCGAAGAAUGGGAGAAGUUCUAAGCAUGAGGAAGUCUGAUGCUUCUAGCCGUCCGCACUUGUGAUUUGGGUGGGCCCAUUCAAUUUUAUUAUUAAGUAUGGGUUACGAUUUCAAUGAUCUCACAAAAGGUGCUCAAUUUUGAAAGUGUUGAGCUUGGGAGAUGUUUGUUACAAAACAAAAAAAAAUAAAUAAAUAAAAGUGAUUAUCGUGACUUAUUCACUUCAAGACGCAUCGUCCGUGAACAAGUCUCGUGGGGGCAUUUGUAGAUAAAUAAAUUUUAUCCAAAAGAAAGGGACCAUUGUGCAAUUACGAAACAAGGAAUUCUAUUUAAAUUCUAUGGCCCAUGGCAAUUCCGUAAUUAAAUAUUUAAAUUCAAAUCAAAUCAAGAUUAUGUGCCGUAUAUUGGUAUCUAUAUUUAAAUAUCAAUUACAUAUUUUCUAUUUUAAAUCUAGGGAUUUAAUUAAAUUAAUUCCUAAAUUAAAUAGAUAAUUGAUUUUAAAUAUAUAUUUACCAGUAGAACUAUUUAUUCUCUUCCAAAUUAUAAGGGAUAAAUAUCAAUUAAUUAUUGGCCAAUAGAAUUGUUUCUUCUCUUCCAAGUUACAAGAGAUAAAUAUCAAUUUAAAUCGGGCCAAUCAAAUCGCGCCACAUCAUCAGUAAGGCCCAUCAAGGACUCUUAUUCUACCACUAUAAAUAGGAAUCCUCCCUCCACAAUUAAAAACACAACUGAAGGAGCAGAAAUCGUAGGAGCAAAAUUCUCUCUACAAUUCAAGAAGCAAGGAAGAAGAAUUCGUAGGAGGUAAGAUUCUCUCUCUACAUUCAAAGUGUUCUUCGUCAUAUUCGAGGUGUUCUUGAGCAAAUUCAAGGCGUUCUUCGUCAAAUCUAGCGUUCGAUCCGAGAUAACGGUGCCAAACCUUCGGAUUAACGUUAAUCAAUUCAAGUCAAGAUCACUGGAAGAUUGAAGGGCCAAAUCCAUCAAGAAUUUCAAGAUCUUCAAGUCAACGCCCGUCAAAGUUCAACAAAUCAAGAUCGAAGGAAGAUUGAGGGGCCAAAUCCAUCAAGAACUUCAAAAUCUUCAAGUCAAAUCAAGUCAAAGUUCAACGUUCGAUCCGAGAUUCAAGUCGCAAGACCCUCGGAAGACGUUAUUCAAAUCCAAAUCAAAUCCGGAGAAGAUCAAAUCAACGACUCGUCUCCGAAAUUCAAAGUCAAUCAUAUAUUUUUCUUGAGAGAAUAAUCAGAGGAUUAAAAUAGAGAUUGUAGCCCGCAAUUUAUUUAUUUUAAUUCAAUAAAAUCAUCUUUGUUCAAUUUUUCUUGUUUGUUUAUAUCGCAGAUAAGAAUUUGUUGUUACACUUAUCUUUUUCUUUUUUAAUUUUAAAUUCAUAAUAUAUUUCAUUUCCUACUCAAUUGAUUAUUACUUUAAUUGAUCACAUACAAGGUUCUGAAAUUAAUUAUUAUAUAGGUUUUAAAAACAUGUGAAUAUCUAUGAUUACUUUAUUAGUAUUGGAGUAGCACAUAAAAUUUUAUCUAGUGCGAAUAAGUUAAUUAAACAACUUACUCGAUAUUCGAUUCAAGAUCGUUCUUUAAAAGCUCGUUAUUCAAGUUCAGUUUUUUUUUUUUGCAUAAUGAAUCAAAGAAAUGUUUUUAAUUUAAUAAGAUGUGAAGCUCGAUUCGAGUUCAGCUCAAUUAGUAUAUAUAGUUAUACAAUAAUUUGCCCGACAAAACCAAGUAAUAUAAUAAGAUAAAGUUAUUUUAAAUAUAGAUUGAAUUUGAUUAAAGAAGUGAUGACAUAAACUCAUUCAAAUGCUUUAAUCAACUUGACACUACUAUACAAGAAACAUAAAAGAGAAAACAAUUCACGAAUUGCAUGCGCAUCCAUAUCUUCUUUCCUUUAAUUAAUAUUAUUAGGAUAAAUUACAUCCACCCGAUAUAUGGUCAAAUUGCGAAAAUUCUCUCAUGUUUGGGUAAUUAUAACCACCCCUCAACUAUAAAUUUUCUUACACGUCUACCCUUGUGGUUUAAAAUUUAGUGGAAUAUUCGAGAUCAUAUUGGAUAUUAUCACUUUUGUACCCGUUUUAUCCCAUUCGAACUCCACAUUUUGAAGCAAGGUGAUCAUAAUAUGUGUUUUUUGGCUUGUAUAUAUCAGAUUGUGAUGCAUCAGAAACUGUAUUUUUACACAAAACGUGUACAAACUAGAGCACAUUCCACGAUAUCUAUAUGAUUAUGUUGAAUUUGACACCAUAAGGGUGGAGGUGUAAGAAAAAAUCAUAGUUUAGGGGAUAUAUGUAAUCGUCCAAACAAGAGGAAUUUUUUCGUAAAUUGACCAUACCUCGGGGAGUUAUUGUAAUUUACCCAUAUUAUUAUUAUUAUUAUUAUUAUUAUUAUUAUUAUUAUUAUUAUUAUUAUUAUUAUUAUUAUUAUUAUUAUUAUUAUUAUUAUUAUUAUUAUUAUUAUUAUCAUCAUCUUUGGUUUUAUAUCUUGUCACAUCCUAGUAUUCAUGUCUCCUUUUCUCCCUUUUGAUUGACCGUCAAAUGCGCAUGCGUAUAAGUUACAAACACUCCAUUUGGUUUGAUUCGAUACUAUAUUUUAUAACCACUCCAUUUCAAAUUCAAAUUCUUUAUUGACAUAUGUUAAUCAUUUCAUAUUAAUACCUCAAAUUAAUAUUAAUCAAUUGGGGUGAAUUUAGCCCUAGAUCCAGUUUGGGGCGAGCUUCCCAAAAAUUGAAAUUGAAAUUGAGUGAGUUUAAUUCAAAAGGAGGUGUGCAAAAUUUCUCCAAUCAUUUUAACUUAAGUCCAAAUUUCUAAGAAAACAAAAUUGAGAAUAGAAACUUUGACUUGAAUUGGUAUUUUUCCCAUGUGACAAAAGUAGGGCUGGGCAAAAAUUACCAAAUACCGAUUACCACGGUAUACCUACCACAAAUUACCGAAUAAAUACCGAACUAUCGGUUACCACUGCAUUUGGUACGGUAUCGUACCGUACCAUUUUCUUACGGUACGGUAGCGGUAUUGUAUCUUCAAUACCAUGGUAAUACCGUACCGUACCGAAACUUAUUUUAAAAAUUAGUUAACAUAUUUUUCCAUUUAUAUUGUUAAAUAAAAAAUAAAUAGUCAACAAAUAUUAUUAAAAAAAUAAAAAACAAGAAUAAAGAUAUGAUACAUCCAAUAUAUAUUAUAUAUACAUAAUUAUAAUUUUUUUUUACUAUUUUAUAUUUAUGCAAACUCAAUAUUUGCCUCUCGUUGAAGUUGUUUAGGUCACGUACUUCUUUAGUUUCAAAGUCCAACUAAUCUCUUAUUGGUGGAAUACUUUUUGCCAUAAUUUUCUUCUCCCUUUAUUUCCUCCCUAAUUCUCAACCUUUUGUUUCAUUUGCAUUAUUGCAACAUAGUUUUUUUUCUAUUUCUCUUUAUAUAAACCAUGAAAUUUUUUUGCUCAUUAAUUUCUACAAUUUUUCUAUAGAUAUCUUAGCAAUCAUUAGUUAAUUGAAGUGCUAUUACGGUCGUAUAAUGUACAUUCAUGUAAAUUUCCUGAUUAUCAUAUUCAUUUGCUUAAUUUGUUUUAUUUAAUAUUCAUCUUAAUUAUGAUAUCAUUCGAGUUAAUCAACACAGUGAUGUACGGUAGAUUACCACGUACCGAUCAUACCGUACCGAAACUAACGGUAUACCGCAAUUGUUGGUACGGUAACGGUAUAGAAUUUUUCAAUACCAAAAGAUACGGUAGGUACACGGUAUUGAAUAAAAUGUUCGGUAACCGUACCGAAACCACCCCUAGACAAAAGUGUUGUCUUUUCAGUUUUCAGUAAUAAUAAUAAUAAAAUGUGAAGAGGAGAUUCAACAUAUAUCAAAACCAUUUUAUAACGUUACUGUGCUGUGCAAUGCAUCCUUAUGAUUUUUUGUCUCUUGUCUUUAAAAGUAGUGCAAAUUAUAGUCCAACUUCAAUUCGGUCCAAACAUACAUCCCUUUGUCCAAUGUUUUUGGUCUCCAUUUCACUUAUUGUCUUUGAUUCUUCUUCUUUUUUUCUUUUUUAAAUUUAUUUAUCAUUAAUUCGAUCAUCGUCUGUACUGACAAUGAGUACAAUCGGCAAAAAACGUGCGAAAUCAAUCAACAUAUUAUGUUACUUUCUAGAUUCAACAAUUUUACGCGAUGUGAAUAAGUAUAGAUUUACGCACUACAUUCGUACAAAAUGUAGCAUAUACGAGUGUGACAAAAGUUUUGCUACGGUAAAUGGCCGUACCAAUUAAUACUUUUUUGCUACGGUAAAUUCUAGUAUUUACUACGACUUCAAAAUUGUUAUGUAGUAAAAAGUACCUUUUAUUAUGAUUUUUUACUGUAGCAAAAAAUUUCGUAGUAAUAAACAAAUUUUCUACUAGUGACGGUUGAAAUCUACCCAAUGUAAAUAACCAGAUUUAGCAUCUAAUUGUCCAAAAAUGAAGGUACAAAAUGAAAUCCGAUAUUAAUAACAAAUAAAAGCCAUAAUUAUAAGAAUAUAUCAGACAAAGAAGAACAUAUAUAUAUAUAUAUAUAUAUAUAUAUAUAUAGAGAGAGAGAGAGAGAGAGAGAGAGAGAGAGAGAGAGAGAGAGAGAGAGAGAGAGAGAGAGAGAGAGAGAGAGAGAGAGAGAGAGAGAGAGAGAUUCUUAAAACAAACAAACAAAGUAGAACAGUUACAAACAGAACACACAUGCAUGCAUGCAUAUUUAUCUUAAUUACACUUCAAUCAUAUACAUAUACAUAUAAUAAUAUAUAUACUGAAUAAACCACCUAAAACAUUACUCAGAAUAAUUCAGCAACUUCAUAUCCAAAUGGGCUUUCUGGAAGAUCUAUUUCUUCAUAACUGCAAAUUUCAUUAAUUACCAAAAUAAUAUUAAUAUAAAUUACAAUCAUUAAUAAAAAUAAAAAAUAAAUAAAAUUGGAGUUACAAGAUGAACUAAUUUGUCUUGAGAUAUUAAUUAAUUACCUCUCCGGCGGCUCGUUGAUGCUCGUCUUAACGUGAGUACGUUUGUCUUGACUAGUGCUGGAGCCAUCAGAUGACGACGACUGGCUCGUGAGCAACAACGUAUGAUCUGUCUCCGAGACGAUUUCCUUCCUCUUGAGCUCAACUACUAACAUACACAGAAUAUACAUAUACAAUAAUGUAAGCAUGCAUCCAAAAAAAGAAACAAUUUUUUAAUAUAUAUAUGUAACGAAAAAUGAAUCUUGAAAAAAAAGAAAAAGUUGGAGUCUUGCUUGAAGGAGGCUUGGAUUCUGCAUCUUGAUUUGGAGCGCUGUUAAUUGCAUGCUCGAUUUUCUCCUCCGUCUUUCUGCACGGAGAAUAUACUACAACAUCAAUCACAACAUUUUGAAAUAAUAUUAUUCUAAUUAAGAUAAUUGCAUGCGUAAAAAUCGACGAGAGGUUCGUGUAUGAUACAUCUUUAAAAUUAAAAGGAGAACUUAUAAGAAUUGUAAGACUUGAUUUGUCGUAAUUUUUACGUCGAAAAAUCUGCACAUCAAGAAUUCAACAUAUACGCAUGUGCAUGUAAAAAAACGCCCGUAUUUAUCAGAAAAUGGCACGUAAAUUAAAGUCGAAUAACCGCCACGAGACACUGAAUUAAAUAGGAAUAGCGUCACAAGACACGACAAAUUAAAAAGAAAAACAGAGAAGACAUACGUAAGAGACCGUAUAUUUUAUUACCUAUCAAGGACGAUUGUCUUUCGAUAAGGUUUCACCAUGACGUGCGCUUCACCGAUAAAAUGAGGGUUCGUUUUAGUCAGGACAAGGGCGGCUGUCUCCGGAUAAACAAACGUCACAAAACCGUACAUCCUCUUGUCCAAAUUCGGAAUCCUAACUUCCCUUACCGGCCCAAAAUUCCUGCAAAUUAAAUUAAAUAAUAAUUAAUAUUCUCGCCGUUAAUUACAACAAUGUAACCAAUUAUUAAUACCUAGUAGCUAGACAUAUAAUAAACUUUUUCCUUACUCGAAAUAAUCGUAAAUAUCUAGAUCAGAGAAACUACUCUGCGGAAGAAAAGUCAGAUAAACUUGGCACGAAUUCGCUGCAAUAAAUUCAUCUCCGUUUCUUUCUUCGAUAAAUCUAUUGUACUUGUGUAUAUCAUCCGCCAAAAUAAUCGACUGCCUCCCAUGUGGCCUAUAUUGAAAAUUUAAAAAUAAAAUUAAAAACAUUAAUCACCUUCAGUUUAGCUUAUAUAUAUAUAUAUACAAACACACGUAACGAAAGAUCAUUAAUAAUGACACCUGUCAAUGACGCGAAUGCAUUUCGUCAUGUAAGCAAAAAGUUGAGCAACGGUGCAUUGCGCUUCUCUAAGAUACACGUCGACCAUAAACGCCCUCUCGUACUUAUCGUAAUAAAGAAUGGGCAGCGAAGAAAUCGAGACAGGAAUACCCCUCCUCGAUUUCAAGAGCUCGAUUAUCUCCACCUCGAGUUGCUUGAGGGCUCCACGCGAAAACGUGCGGUCAAUAUUCGGCUCGUUCGGUGGGUUAAGUACCAUAUAGCCCCCGUUCUCCGUUCCAAGUACAUGCAAGAACUUACACGCGCCCCCGUACUUACAAUACCCCUUCUGGAAGUUAUCGCAUAUCAUUGCUCCGGAAGGUUCCGGAAAGUGGGGGCAGAAAUCAUGCACAUGACAGUAUUGCAUGAACUGAUCUUCCAAGGGCAAGAUCAGAUGAGGUUGUUGGAAGUUAUGAACCGAUGGGUGGUGAUAAGUGGCCGGGAUCGUAGCUAGAGGAAUAUUCCGUUGUCCGGUUUCGAGUGGGGAACGAGAUGAAGAAGGGGUGAAGGGGGUGAAGUUUGUGGGGAGUUUUGUUUUGGGGGGUGAGAGUAGUGGAGUACUAGGGUUUGGAGAUGAGGUGAGGUCUUGUUUGACUUUUUCGAUCAACGAGCGGAGUAGGUAUUCGGGUCCGAAGGCUAAACGGAUCAUUUCGAGUUUGGAGUAGCCUUUCAGGAGGAGAUAACCGAUUAUUUUGGAGACGUUUUCCGGGUCGAGAUCUUGAAUUCUUUCGAAAACGGCUUUUGUUGACUCGGAGUAGUUCAUCUUCAAACUCAACCUGUAUAUUAAACAACAAUUAAUUAAUUGUGUAUAUAGUGUGUAUUUAUGUAUGUAUGUAUAUAUAAGAAUGGCACAACAUAUAUUAAGAAAUAGUUGGAGAAAAUGAAGAAAGAAAGCAAAAUCAAAUUAAAGAAUAGAAUCAAAUCAACUCAAAAUGCAUGGAUAUAUACAUAGGCAUAUCAUAUUAGUUAAAUUUUGUAAAUUUCACUAAUAUACCAUCAAACUGACAUUUUUGCAAACGGCAAUUUCAAGCUAAUUAAAAUGACUAAUUGGUUAAUUAAACUCAUAUACAUAUAAUGGUGUGAUUAAAGCUAUAGCGACGACGUUAAUUUCGAUGCAAGAACAAGAACAAUCACCAACAAACAGUAUUUAACUACUAAGAUUAGACAAGCACAAACACGAGCUAGGAUAAAUGAUGAAUGUGCAAAUAAAACGAUCUCUUUAUAUUUGAUGGAAAACGGAGCAAUUAGAAAUUAACAAAAAGAGCACGAAAUUUAAUCUGCAUGAACCAUUAAUUAAUUUAAAAAGAAGAUCUUCUUUCACUACAAGGAAACAUGCAUUGUACAAGAAAUGAUCCAUUUUCUUGCAUGCAAGAUCAUAAAGAUCAUAUCUUUACAAAGAAUUUGCCAAUAUGAAGAAAAACCCAUGUCGAUUGAAGUGUUGAAAAGGAUUAUUAAUGAAAAAAAAAAGAUCAAAUUUUUAAAAGAAAAACAGUUCUUGAAAAAAAAAAAAACCCACCAAAAUCUUUAGCUGCAGAGAAGAUCGAGGCCGAAUGAACACCGAGUUUCAGUCGCAGAGUUGAGAAGAAGAAGAAGAAUAGUUGAUCACUGAGAAAAUGUGGUUGGCAUAAUAUAAUUGUAAUAUUUGGUGGUGGUACGGUGGGUAUAUUAAUUAAGAUAUAUAUGACAUACAUAUAUUGAUAUGACUCCAAAAUUGCUCACGAAAAUUAAGAGGAGAAAAAGGACACACAUCGAUAAAGGUAUUGUCUUUUGCUCUCAUUUCUCGCCUACUUUCAGUUUCUCUAUUUCUUCUUCUGCUUCUUCUGCAAUUGUAUUAUUAGUUUACAAAACCCACCGAUAUAACUCAAAUCAUCCAUUGUUUAUAUCGAUCUCCACGUACACCUUGUCAAUUCAUUAUAUAUUUUUUAUUUCUAUAUAUUUUCUAGCAAUAUAUAUAUAUAUAUGGAACCAUGCAUCCAUCACAGCAGAUAUAGAAACCAGAAGUGUAUACCUAACUUUUAAGGUUAGCAUGGGACAAAACCCACCUCUCUCCUUUCAUCUCCUUAAUUUAUAUUUUUAUAUUUAUUUUUGUGUGGGCCCCAGGCCCAGAGAAAAACAACGUACGUAGGCAGUUGAUGUAAGAGAGCAUGCAAACUGAAAAUGAGGAUGUAAUUACUGCUUUUUUUUUUAGGUAGUAUGGUACGAAUUAGUUAGAAAGGCAGAUGAUCGAUCGUAUCGAUCACAUUUAAACUCACCUACUGUAUUUUGCAUGCAUGCCAUUUGUCUCAUGACUACUUUCUUUAUCAUGCAUGCAUCAUCUAAACCCCACCACCGAUAUAUCUCCCUUGUUUGUCUGUUGCGGACGAGUUGUUUCGUUUCUUGCAAGUCGAGACUCUAGUUCAAUGGGGAGAGCCAGCAGGGCGCGGAUCAUCGCUUCGUUUUGAACCACAAGUGGUACUUCCCUCAAUUCAUGUCAUGUUGCUGGCUUUCCGCCAGCUUUCUUUUAUCUUUGGGCCGAAUAUAGUCACACUCGUCGCCUAUAACUACCCUACAUUGGGCUUAGUGGUCAAUGUGGGAGUGGAUCUGAGCUUUAUUUGUAAAAUUAUUAUUACUUGGACUUUUAGGACAAUCGAGCCCAUAUCAAGGAGGAUUUAAAUUGGAAAAAAAAGUUAAAAACAAUUUCUUAAUAAAUGAAAUAUUAUAAUUAGAUGGGCCAACAUAUUUUUCAAGAUCCCAUUAAAUAUACUUAUUAUAAUUGUUAGACACUUGGUCUUGGAGUACGUAGGCCUGUUGAAAGAAAGCCCAAACGGUGUACUUUAACUCAUUGCAGCCAGUAAUUAAUUGUAGGGUAAAUUACAAACACCCCUGAGGUAUGGUCAAAUUACAAAACCCCCCUCUUGUUUGGAUAAUUACAUCUAUCCCCUUCAGCUAUGGUUUUUUCUUAUACCUCCACCCUUAUGGUACCAAAUUCAACAUAAUCAUCUAGAUUGCGCGGAAUGUGCUCUAGUUUGUACUCGUUUUGUGUAAAAAUACAGUUUCCGAUGCACCACAAACUGAUAUAUACAAGCUAAAAAACACAUAUUAUGAUCAUCUUGCUUCAUAAUGUAUAGUUCGAGUGGGAUAAAAUGAGUACAAAAGUGAUAAUAUUCCAUAUAAUCUCGAAGAUUCCACUAAAUUUGAGGAGUUGAGGUGGUGGUUGUAAUUAUCUAAACAAGAAGGGUGUUUUUGUAAUUUAAUCAUACCUCAUGGGUGUUUGUAAUUUACCCUUAAUUGUAAUAAUUUGCAAGUUUUAUUUUUUAAUUAGGGUAAAUUACACCCACACCCCUGGGGUAUACUUAAAUAACUUUAAGGUCCUUGUGGUAUCGAUAAUUACAUUAACCCCCUUGAAACGUAGUUAUAAACUCUAAUGGUAUAAUGCAUUGGAUACGUUAUUACGAUAGAGUUCUAACGGACUAUUGGUUUCAGGAAGUGGUGAAGACAACAAAGAGUUAUGAGUGAUUUAAGAAAUAUUGGGGGAGCCAUGUCACCCUAUAACUCCCCAUAACUCUAUGUUACCUCCAUAACUAUCUAAAAGUAAUAGUCCAUUAGAACCCUAUCGGAAUAAUGUAUCUAAUGCAUUAUCCCGUUAGAGCUUUUAACUACCUUUCAGGGGGGUGAGUGUAAUUAUCGAUACCACAGGGACCUUACAGUUAUUUAAGCAUACCUCAGGGGUGUGGGUGUAAUUUACCCUUUUAAUUAUUUAUUUACUUUGAGUCUUACAAAUCAAAAUCAAAGUCUACUAUUUGCAUUUGAUUUUCUAGAUAAUAAAUUGUUAAAAACUUAUAAAAUUAAAUUUGUUCUUGCAAAUAAACAAGUUUGACAACCCCCACCGCCACGUUCUCUUCUCACCGGCGCAACCCCACCCUUGAUUCACCUUCCUCCACCACCACCACCGCCACUGCCGCCGGCAGCUCCACCAUCCGUCCGUCUUCCUAUUUAUAGAUCCACGUAGUAUAUGUAAUCUAUUCUUCUGAAAUUAAUUUGUUGCGAGGAGAUAAAUUAUACCAAAAAUCAGAAUUUAAUGUAUCAGUGGAGGAAAUUCGACUUCUUCGAGGAGAAGAAGAUCAAAAUUCCGGAGGAGAUAGAGGCCGGAAUUCAAUGCUGCUCCAGCGGCCGAGGCAGGAUCGUCUUAGGUUCCCAAGACGGCACCGUUUCGCUUCUCGAUCGUACCCUCCAGCUCCACCGCUCCUUCCCCGCUCACUCCGCCUCCGUUCUCCUACUCCAACAACUCAAGGUAUCUAACAUUUAAUUAUCCCCAAUUUCAUCCUGGGUUUUAUAAGGUUUUGUGUGUGUGUGUGUGUUUGAUCCAAUUGUUCUUCUGAUUGUGACAAAUCGAUGUUUUCUUAUCAUUAAAACUCUAGGCUUGACAAUUAAUUUUAAUGCUAUAAUUUUCAAUUAAGCUCAAUUAGGGUAUUUUUUUCAUUGUGUUCCUGGUCCAGUAACCUGUGAUUUCCAUACUUUACUUAACGCAAAAUUUCGUUUUCUGUGCUGGCGAAUUAGCAACGGAACUUCUUAGUGACAGUUGGAGAAGAUGAACAAAUGCCGCCACAACAAGCGGCUAUAUGCCUAAAGGUUUUCGACCUUGAUAAAAGGCAAGAAGAGGAGUCGAGUUCAUCAAGUCCAGAGUGCCUCCAAAUUCUGCGGAUUUUUACCAACCAAUUUCCCGAAGCAAAGGUACAGUUUAUGCAAUAUAAACACCCUUAUUAUUAAAUGUGUACUUUGUAUAGGCGUGCUUGUGAAGUUAAAAUACCCUUAAAAUGGCUGUUCAACAGAUCACAUCUUUCGUGGUUUUCGAGGAAGCUCCACCGAUUAUAUUUAUUGCACUUGGAUUGGACAACGGUUGUAUUUAUUGCAUUCAAGGCGACAUUGCCCGUGAAAGAAUUAAACGCUUCAAGCUAGAGGUUGACAGUGGUCAGCCUGGCAAAACAAAGUCAGCUAUUACAGGGCUCGGAUUUCGUGUGGAUGGUCAAGCGUUUCAACUCUUUGCUGUCACAUCAAGUUCAGUGAGCUUGUUUAACUUGCAUGCUCAAACACCUACUGGACAAACACUUGAUCACAUUGGUUCCGAAACUGCUAGUGUAGCAAUGAGUGAUCGCUUGGUUGGUUACGCUCUCUUUAUUUCAGUCUUUGUUCUAAAUUAUAAAGUAAAUGAACUAAACUCUUUUUUUUUUCUUCUUUUUUUGGGAAUUAGGAACUGAUUAUUGGUCGGCCCGAAGCUGUGUAUUUCUAUGAAGUUGAUGGCCGAGGCCCGUGUUGGGCUUUUGAGGGAGAGAAAAAGUUCCUCGGCUGGUUUCGUGGGUACCUUUUAUGUGUUAUUGCUGAUCAAAGAACUGGGAAGAAUACUUUCAACAUUUACGAUCUAAAGAACCGUUUAAUAGCCCAUAGUAUCGCAGUUCAAGAAGUUUCCCACAUGCUCUGUGAAUGGGGUACAAUCGUACUCAUAAUGGCCGACAAAUCUGCCCUUUUUAUCGUGGAGAAGGAUAUGGAGAGCAAGUUGGAUUUGCUUUUCAAGAAAAAUCUAUACACGGUAGCUAUUAAUCUUGUCCAGAGCCAGCAAGCUGAUGCUGUGGCAACUGCUGAGGUGCUGAGGAAAUACGGCGACCAUUUGUACAGCAAACAAGACUAUGACGAAGCGAUGGCUCAGUAUAUACUCACGAUCGGUCAUUUAGAACCUUCGUAUGUCAUUCAGAAGUUUUUAGAUGCACAGAGAAUUUACAAUUUAACGAAUUACUUGGAGAAGUUACACGAGAAGGGGCUUGCUUCAAAAGAUCACACCACUCUUUUGCUCAACUGUUACACGAAACUAAAAGACGUUGACAAGCUGGAUCUAUUCAUUAAAAGCGAGGAUGAACAUAAAUUCGAUGUGGAAACUGCGAUAAGGGUAUGCAGAGCUGCUAAUUACCACGAGCACGCGAUGUAUGUUGCAAAGAAGUCAGGGAAGCAUGAAUGGUACUUGAAGAUUUUACUCGAGGACUUGGAUAGGUACGAUGAGGCGUUGCAGUAUAUAAAUAGCCUCGACCCAAGUCAAGCCGGGUUGACCAUUGAAGAGUAUGGGAAGAUUCUCGUAGAGCACAAGCCGAAGGAGACAAUUCAAAUACUGAUGAGGCUUUGUACCGAAGAAGGAGAACCGGCUAAAGGUGGAACCUUUAUAACCAUGCUGCCAUCUCCUGUCGAUUUUCUCAAUAUUUUCGUGCACCAUCCACAGUCGCUUAUGGAAUUUCUCGAAAAAUACACCAACAAAGUGAAGGAUUCUCCUGCUCAAGUCGAAAUCAACAACACGCUAAUGGAGUUGUACUUGUCUCAUGACUUGGACUUCCCUUCUCUUUCACAGACUGGCAGCAAUGAAAACGGCGAUCUUGGAACGAAUAGAGGUUCAAAUGCUGCUGCAACAACUUCAAGAACAGAGAGUAAUGGAAACGUAUUUUCUGAUGAUGCAAUCGAGGAGAAAUAUCGCAAAGAGAGACGUCGAAAAGGGCUGAUCUUGCUGAAAAAUGCUUGGCCCGCCGAACAGGAGCAGCCACUGUACGAUGUCGACCUUGCGAUAAUUCUGUGUGAAAUGAACUCGUUUAAAGAAGGGCUAUUGUAUCUGUACGAGAAGAUGAAACUGUAUAAAGAGGUCAUUGCAUGUUAUAUGCAGGCGCACGAUCACGAAGGUUUAAUUGCGUGCUGCAAGAGAUUAGGGGAUUCGGGUAAGGGCGGUGACGCAUCUCUUUGGGCAGAUCUGUUGAAGUACUUUGGUGAACUUGGAGAAGAUUGCUCGAAAGAAGUCAAAGAAGUUUUGACUUACAUAGAAAGGGAUGACAUGUUGCCUCCCAUUGUAGUUCUUCAAACCUUGUCGAGAAAUCCAUGCCUUACUCUUUCUGUGAUUAAGGAUUAUAUAGCUCGAAAGCUGGAAAAGGAGUCGAAGCUGAUUGAUGAGGAUCGGAUAGCUAUUGAAAAGUAUCAGGUAAUUUUUUCAUUUCACUUAAGGCAUCUUUCUUUUGUCAUUCGAUAAGUAAAGAACUAGAGUUUGUUAUACUGCAAGAACUUACUGACUAUAUCCACUAUCUCAACAUAUACCUGCAUUAUUAUAGAUUGUUUUUGGUUUUGGAUUUUAAAUUCUGCAUUAGGUUUUUAAACGGUGCUUUAGAAGUUUCUUCAAGAAUUUCUGACAGUAUCUAGUUAAGACUGUUCUUCUGCAGUAUACUUUUAGUCUUCUCUUUCAUCUGGUUCCAAAUUUCAAAUUUCUCCAAUAUUAAAUCUUCACUGCUUGUCCGUCUAUAGAAAUGCAGUUGAUUCUUGAUUCCAUUUUAUAUUCUGAUUAUUCAACUGCAAAAUAAAAUACGAGCCGGAUUAUAGAUGAAAUUUGAUUUCCAGGACUUGGCGUCUUCAAAUAUGGUCAUAAUCUAAUGACGUCAUUUGUAGAAUCUUUUCAAUGAUGUCGAUACUUUCAAGAAUCAUCUGUGUACGAAACUUGUUCAAUUUUUGAAGGAGCAAUUGUUUUGUUCCUGCAUUUGCUAUUUUCGGUUUUCUUUGGCCGGUACUGCAAACAUUGUGUGUACAAUAUGUAUUGUAAAAAACAAGCUCAAACCAUUUGUUUAUUUGCAGGAGGAAACAUCAGCCAUGAGAAAAGAAAUCCAAGAUCUUCGGACAAAUGCAAGAAUAUUCCAGCUCAGCAAGUGCACCGCUUGUACUUUCACUCUCGAUCUCCCCGCGGUACAUUUCAUGUGUAUGCACUCUUUUCAUCAACGGUGCCUAGGUGACAACGAGAAAGAAUGUCCAGAGUGUGCUCCCGAGUACAGAUCUGUCUUGGAAACGAAGAGAAACUUAGAACAGAACUCCAAAAACCAAGAUUACUUCUUCCAACAAGUUAGAAGUUCAAAGAAUGGCUUUUCUGUAAUUGCUGAGUAUUUUGGUAAAGGCAUCAUCAGUAAAACUACUAAAGGAUCUUCGGAAGCUAUUAAACCGACCAAUGAUUACUCAAACGGCAGCUUUUGAGAUUUUUUGUUUUCCGGCAAUAAAAGUCGAAAUGAGACAUUAAUAUAUAUAUCUCUCUAUCUUGUUAGUGCUUGAUUUGGUUUGUGAUUUCUUUCCUAUAAACGGUGUUGUAAUUUGGCCGAAAGUGCCGAUAUUACGUGUUGUAGUUUUCGGGUUUUUUUUCUUCUAAUGUAUCAUUGGAUUUGUUGUGCAUUUCUUAGGGUAUGUUUGGUUGAUUCUUUGGUGACAAUUGAAUUAUAGAAACAAGAUGAUUCUUGAAUGAAUUAUUGUGCUAUGUAAUGUAAUAAUCUGAUUUUUUUCUGAGUGGGUUUGGUCAAACAUGAAACCUAUGUUAUAAUAUUUGUUGUUAUAUUACUGGAACUAUAUACUAGCAGUGCUGGUAUGAAAGAUGAAACAUCAUUUCAUGGGCAAGGGUAGUUUGGACAAAGCACAUGAAAAGAAAAAGUAGAUGGGGCCAUUUAAUUCAGCAACAAAAGAGGACAAAAGAUAGUUUAAGUUUUGAGUAGGCCAAACCCCAGUUUCUAAAAAGUUAAAGCCAAACACUUCCCACAAUAAUAAUAAUAAUAAUAAUAAGGGUAAAUUACACCCACACCCUUGUGGUAUGCUUAAAUAAUUUUAAGGACCCUAUGGUAUCGAUAAUUACACUCACCCCUGAAACGUAGUUAAAAACUCUAACGGAUAAUGCAUUGGAUACAUUAUUCCGAUAGGGUUCUAAUGGACUAUUAAUUUUAGCUAGUGGUGGAGAUAAGAUAGAGUUAUGGGGUGACAUGACUCGCCCAAUAUUUCUUAAAUCACCCAUAAAUAUUUGUUGUCUCCACCACUUCCUGAAACCAAUAGUCCAUUAGAACUCUAUCGUAAUAACGUAUCCAAUGCAUUAUCCCAUUAGAGUUUAUAACUACGUUUCAAGGGGGUGAGUGUAAUUAUCGAUACUAUAGGGACAUUAAAGUUAUUUAAGCAUACCUCAGGGGUGUGGGUGUAAUUUACCCUAAUAAUAAUAAUAAAGUAUAAACAACUCUCUCUUUCUCUCCUUUCAAUACUCUCUCUCUCUCUCUCUCUCCUGUUUCUCUCUCUUCCACACAAUACACACAGGUACCAACACACACUGAAUUGAAAGACUUACACGCACUCAUUCAUCACCUAAUGUAGGAAAUCACGACCCUUAAUUCAUCGAUUAUUGGAAGGUUUGGAUUUUGCUUUUACAAUAAUUGCCAUCAACUGUAUUUCUCUACUGUGCUGUACUAAUACAUUUUGUGAUUAAAUUCAUUACUAAUCUCAAUUGCACGCCGUUUGUUGAAUUUUAGGUUACUUUUUUUUUUUCUCUCUCUUUCGAGAAAGGGUUGGUUUCUGCAAAAUGAGCAAAGAAAAAGUGAGGUCACCUGAGCCUCUUGAUUUCUUCAUUUGGACUGUUGAGGUAGUAAAGCUUUCAUUUUUCUUUUUAAUUCUUCAAUUCGUUUUGUUUGAUCUUGUUUUUUAAAUUUUAAUUCUUUGGAUCUUGUAAUUUUUUUGUAAUUCUUUGUGUAUUUAUUUUAUUUUAUUUGAUUAUUUACCUGUUCCAGUUGAUCAAAUUCUUGCUGCUUGCUUGGUUAGUGUUGAUUUUGGGGGUGGGGGUGUUGAAAUAAUCAUGAAAAUAUAUUUUUUUUAAUUGAAGUUUUUGUGUUUAGUCAAUUUAUGGUGUACUGAUUAUUUUAUAAUGUUUUGGUGAUUUUUAGUUUGAAUCUUGACUCUUGUUUCUAAUGAAUGUGCAAAAAAUUGGGUUUGAAAACUGAAUUGUAAAAUGAGUUGGUUAAACUAGCAUUUGAUCCAUGUUAAUUAUAGAGCUAUAUAAACAAAUUACUCUGCUAAGAAAUAAAAUAUGCUUCGUGUUCGUUUGAAGGACCUGAAAAAGAAAAAUAGAAGACAGGGUAAGAGAAUAAUUGUUUAAUGGAAGUAUUUCUCGAUCAAUUUUUCGUUUUUUUGGAUUUAUUUGUUCAUAGGAUGUUGGCCUGUGGUUGGAAGAGAUAAAUCUCGGAAGUUAUCGACAAAUUUUCAAGGAAAAUAGGGUUAAUGGAGAGUAUUUGGAAGGGAUGUCGAUGUUUACGACUGAACAGAUACUUCGGUUCAUAAGGAAGUGCCACAUGAAAUGGGGUGAUUUCAUAACUUUGUGCAAGGAGCUCAGACGAAUAAAAGGUCCCUUUCGCCCUCUCUUCUUACCCUUCUUCCUCUUUAUAUCUGUCUUAACCGUGUAAAAUAUCGUCCGAUCACAUCUUAAACUGCAUCAGUUGCUCGUGAUUAAGUUAAUGGUCCCUCGAUGUUUAUGGUAUUUCUAGUUGAAUCUCUAAUUUGUCAGUUCAAAAGACAUAGUGCCUGUUUGUUUUCUUAAUUGCAAACGUGAUGGAUGAUCAUUACUACAUAAUGAGUUGUAGGAUUUAUAUGUUUAGUGUAUAGACUGAAACUUGAUUAUUGUAUUGUUUUUGUUAUUUAUUCUUUGAUUUCAAAUGCGGAUCGAAGAAAAAGCCAAAAAAAUUAUGACAUCCUCCUUAACUCAUCCACUACUUACACCAACUAUUGCACCAAAUAUAAAGACCAACCCCAGCAUCUAUGGAGAUGAUAUACCAAAAGUCAAUACGCAAAUGUCUAUAUUGCCCUCACCAGCCACAUGACCGAUAAUUUCAAAAAAAAAAAAGAAAAAAAAGAUUAUAUUUAUAGACAUAGCAGUUCAUUAUGGGGAUCUCUCCUGUUAUACACUUAUACUAUUCUGCCUAAUUUGUUUGUGAAAAAUAUCAUCUGAUUUUAUCGUUCUGAUGUUCUUGAAGCUCGUGCUCUUGGUCUUAAUUACAUCAACUAUUUCUGAAAAUUCAGCACAUAUAACAUAGGACCGUCUCUAUUAACAUGGAAUUGCAUAUUUUUUACUGAAUGAUUAUAAUCAUGCAUCAGUGGCUUGCUUGAAAGGGGAGCAAAAGGUACGCAGGCCUUGGUGGGCUUCGUCUUGUCUAUCACUUGUAUUCGUCAAGGCUGAGAAACGCAACAGGCAAUCUCGAGUUGUUUCGUUGAAGCUCGAACCUUGAUCUUGGUUUUCAUGUAUGUAUAUGGGAUGUGUACUUUUCUUAAUUUUUAAUUUCAUGUUCAAGUCUAGAUAUAGGAAAGCUAUACGUAUUUCCUUUUUUUUUUUUUUUUUUUUAUGUCUUAAGUUUUGCUAAGAAAAGUCGGUUCUUCUUCGGAGAACCUUCCCCUUUGUCUCGAGUUCUUCGAGAUCAGGAGAUACUAUUACAGUUUACUUAUGUUUGGGAUUUGUUGAGGGAAAACAUUAUAUAUAAGACAACAUGUUUGGUUCUUGUAUGUUUUAAGUGUCGGAUGUUAUUGUUGUUGAUGUCCGUGGGUGAAUCAGAAACAUCCUCGACGAAAACUUCGAAAUGGAUUUUCAAGUAUUUGUUAAAAUUGUUACAAAAUCGUUAUUUUUACGCCAAAAAACACAUUGUGCUUGUAAAAUCUAGACGUCUAAGGUCACAUUCGGGAUUUCGUAGCUCGGAUGUGUCGUUAGACAUCCAAUUUUUUUCUUUCAAUGUAUAGUCACGAAUUUAUCAAAAUUUAUUUUAGGAUGAACCCCAAAAAAAAAAAAAAAAAGUAAAAACAAAGUCUACAUUAAGGAAUUAAUGUAUUAUAUAUAUAUAUAUAUAAAUGAUUAAAUGUAUAAAUAUAUGGGUAAAUUCCACUUUACUCUCUCGUACUCUGCAUGAGAGUCACUUUACCCCCUCGUACUCUCAAUUUUAUCGAUUUACCUCCUUGUACUCGUACAAUUUCCCAAUACAACCCUUUCCUUCAAUUUUUGCCAAUUUAGACUCUAACGCCAUUUGGUCAACUCUGUAAAUUACAAAAUUGCCACUGCCUAUAAUGCGUCGUUUCUCCUCCGUCAAUAUUGUCAUUUCUUCUUCUCCCACCACUUCCUCUUCCAAGAUAUCCCCAAAUUGAACCCCUAACUUAGUAAAAAUCAAGACCCAAAAAUUGAUCAAUUCCACCCAGUGCAAAGAAAAAAAUAUAUGAAUGUGCGAAACUUUCUCUUUUCUAAUCUCGAGAGUCAAAAUCGAAAAAAUUCAAUAUUUACGUCAAUAUUUUGACUCUUGACCAAAUGGCGUCAGAGUCAAAAUCGAAAAAAGUUGAUGAAGAGGGUUGUAUUGGGAAAUUGUACAAGUACAAGGGGGUAAAUCGACGAAAUUAAGAGUACGAGGGGGUAAAGUGGUUCUUGGGCAGAGUACAAGGGGGUAAAGUGGAAUUUACCCUAAAUAUAUAGAACAAAAAUCAACAAAUGGUUUUAUAAUUAUAGAGAUGCAAACUUCAAAUACCAAGUUGUACUUUGGGUAAAACUUGUUCAAAAUUCAAAUGAAACUAUGAAUUGUUGCUAUGUUGGAGGAACUCUAUUUUAAAAAUUAAAAUUUACAGAAAUACCCUCCACCAUUACCAAAAUUCAAAAAAUGACUGACAAAAAAACAGAAAAUAGAACGAGCUUCUCCUCUGAAACAAAACCCUAAACCCCAUAACCAGAAGCAGUGAAGACGAUUGAUUCGAACAUUAGCAGCUAUGUUCUCUCCCCCCACUAAAAAGUCCAGCUUAACUUCACGCAAAAAUGUCGCUAACCGAAGUGAUGAUAUUUCCACCCCGCUCGCCGACAAUCGACGACAACUGCUCGACAGUCCCGCCGUCCCCAAUCGCCCCACCACCGGAACCCCUGCCCCUUGGUCUUCGCGCCUUUCCGUCCUCGCCAGGUAUUAUCAAAUGCAUAUGCGCCUAAUCACUUCUCUCUCUCUCUCUCUCUCUCUCUCUCGUUCAUAUGUUGAGAUUAGCUCUGGGAGAACAGAUAUACGUUUUAAUUUGGACAUUUGUGCUCUGUUGCUUGUUUCAUGAUUUUGUCAUUUCCAUUGCAAGUGAUAGUGGCAAUAGGGUUUACGCAUAUCAAUUAUAAUUUUUUUUUGUAUGUAGGUAUCCUGAAAAUUACGAGGAGUUGACAGGAGAAUCGUGAUUUAUAUGUUAUACUUUAUGCUCUAGUCUCUCNNNNNNNNNNNNNNNNNNNNNNNNNNNNNNNNNNNNNNNNNNNNNNNNNNNNNNNNNNNNNNNNNNNNNNNNNNNNNNNNNNNNNNNNNNNNNNNNNNNNGUUCGGAGAGACUAGAGCAAUAGGUCACAAAUUUCGUUAUUACUUGGCCUUCUGAAUCUGCUUUUCUGGAUAUUCUACCACAAAUUUCUAAUGCAAAUUUGUUACAGUAAUAACCUUCCUAAAUCCUUCCAGGGGAUGUUGGUUGUCUGUUUGGAUGCUAUUGUAUCAUCCUUUAAUUUUGUUGAUUUUGUUGAGAAUGCAUGGUAGAUUGUAGAUGUGGAAACAUGAAAAAAGAUAAGGAAAGACUGUGUCAUGCCUUUGUUUGAUUUGACGUUGGCUUGUCUUUUCAGAAUCACACCUGCAAAGAGAAGUGACAGAGGAGAUGAGGUAGAUGCUGUUCAGCCUGUAUAUGUUGGGGAGUUCCCUCAAAUAGUACGUGAAGCGCAAAUCACGCUAUCACAAAAUCGUGUUUCUGGUUGGUCCAACUUAUUCCCAAAAUACAUAAUAUGGUUAGAUUUGUUUCAAUUUCUUUCUAAAGAUUUUAAUAUUAGUCCAUCUGGCAGCUGAUACAUCUAUCUCUGGUGGAAUGGACAAGGUAACAUCUCUAGCGUGGAUUAUCUGUGGAAACAGGGUCUUUGUCUGGAAUUACUUAUUACCUGCUGCUUCAAGAAAAUGUAUUGUCCUUGACCUUAAUUCUUGCAUAUCAGAAAGUGGAGACACGGACAAAAGUUCGUAUCAAACUAACAAUUGGUUAGUCUGUAUUGUUAACUGGGACACCUCAAAGAAAACUGGUAUCAGUGUUGCUCAACAGACCAAUUCUGCAGGGAUUGUUAUGUGUAACAGAAAAACUCGCUCUCUAAUUUUCUGGCCAGAUAUACAUAAUGCUAACAGGGUCCCUCCAGUCACUUCGGCUGCUUUUUCGGAGGUAGAAGUGAUUUAUCCACGACAAAAUGGAAAAUCCAUCUCAAGCAAGCAGAGGCAAAUUGGCAACAAUGGUGCAAAAUCUUGUUUUGUCAACUCUUUGAUUGCCUCAGCAAUUCCUGCUGCCACCAACAGUUGUGUUGCUAUUGCAUGUUGUUCGAAUGGUAUGCUUUGGAGAUUUCUCUGCCGCCCUUCUGGUAUUCAUUGUGACCAGAUUGAGCAUGGCAUGUCAAAUAUAUUUUAUCAAGGAAGUGAUAAUAGCACACUUGUGGCAAGCAAGGGUUAUCCAAGGUCAUUGAUCUGGCACUCUUUUAGUCAUUCAUCAUCGGACACCACGAGACAGUUCCUUCUACUAACUAAUCACGAGAUACAGUGCUUUGAAGUAAUUUUUUUUUCUGAAUUUGACGUGUCAAAGCUUUGGUCACAUGAAAUUGUUGGCACCGACGGUGAUUUGGGUAUUCAGAAGGAUCUUGCUGGACAAAAGAGAAUUUGGCCUCUUGAUUUGGAUGUUGAUUGUGAUGGCAAGGUUAUAACUAUUCUUAUUGCUAUCUUUUGCAAGGAUCGGGGGGUCACCAGUUCAAGCUACACUGAAUACUCUCUGCUGACCAUGCAAUAUAAAUCUGGAGUAGAUAUUGCGAAGCCAAUAGGUGAAAACAUAUUGGAGAAAAAGGCUCCUAUCCAAGUGAUUAUACCUAAAGCUAGAGUAGAGGAUGAAGAUGUUUUAUUCUCAAUGAGAUUAAAGGUAGGUGGAAAGCCAGCUGGCUCUGCUAUGAUUCUCUCAGGUGAUGGUACUGCAACUGUUUCCCACUAUUGGAGAAACUCCACCAGACUCCAUCAGUUUGAUCUGCCUUAUGAUGCUGGAAAAGUUCUUGAUGCUUCAGUAUUCCCAUCGGCAGACGACAGUGAAGAUGGAGCUUGGGUUGUACUCACAGAGAAAGCUGGAGUUUGGGCUAUACCUGAGAGGGCUGUCUUAAUGGGUGGAGUUGAACCACCUGAAAGAAGCUUGUCUCGUAAAGGGAGUUCUAAUGAUGGACCUUUACAGGACGAGAGAAGAAACUUCUCUGGUGCCGGAAACAUUGCUCCAAGAAGAGCCAAUUCAGAAGCUUGGGAUGCAGGAGAUAGGCAAAGGACGAGCAUGGCUGGAGUUGUGCGUAGAAGCCCUCAAGAUGAAGAAUCAGAAGCUUUACUGAGUCAGCUUUUCCAUGAUUUUCUCUUGUCUGGGAAGGUUGAUGGCGCACUUGACAAACUUAGAAAUUCAAGAGCAUUUGAAAGAGAGGGCGAAACAAAUGUAUUUACCAGGACAAGCAAAUCAAUUGUUGACACUUUAGCUAAACAUUGGACAACAACCAGGGGCCCUGAGAUUGCUUUGUCUGUUGUGUCCACACAACUUGCAGAGAAGCAACAGAAGCAUCAAAAGUUCCUUCAGUUCCUUGCUUUGUCCAAAUGCCAUGAGGAAUUGUGUUCCCACCAGAGUAUGUCAAUUGUUUCCAAUAUAUUUAGUUUCUGGCUAUCCUUCCAUGAUGUUAUUUUAUUAUGAAUAUCUGGUUACUUUGUUCUGAUAUUAUUAAUCUACAGAAUCUUAAGGAUGCUUGCAUUUAUAAGGUGGUACUUAAUAUGUUCUAAUUUUCAUGCCCAAAACAGUCAGAUUUUUUUCUCAGUUUGUUUAACCAUUGACCUGUCACUGACUUGAUGAAGUAGCUAAAAUAAUCCGUAUUGUGUAUAUGCACUAGACUUCUGAUUGUCCAUAAAUGCUGCUGUUUUAAACGUUUCUCCACAUUUGCUGAUUAAUUAUAAACCUACUAUCAAAUCUAAAUAAUUGUUUACUGACCAGGGCAAUCUAUGCAAAUUAUCAUGGAACAUGGGGAAAGGCUUGCCGGCAUGAUCCAACUGAGAGAACUGCAAAACACGAUUAGUCAUGCCAAUGCAUCCGGAUCUGGCUCUUAUCAUGCGUCAGAUGCUCGAACUUCAGGAGCUCUUUGGGAUCUUAUCCAGUUAGUCGGUGAGAGAGCUCGCCGGAACACAGUUCUUUUGAUGGAUAGGGAUAACUCUGAAGUAUUUUAUAGUAAAGUUUCCGACAUUGAGGAAGUAUUCCAUUGCUUAGAGAGACAGCUUGAAUAUGUCAUCAGUAUAGAUAUGCCGAUUCUUGUUCAAUUUCAAAGUUCUUGUGAACUCUCAGAUGCUUGUGUGACGUUAUUCCGUGCAGCCAUCGAAUAUAGGAGUGAGCAUCAUUUGUGGUAUCCUCCACCCGAGGGCUUGAUACCAUGGUACUCCAAAAACAUUGUGUGGAGUGGGCUCUGGACUCUGGCGUCAUUCAUGGUUCAGUUGCUCAAUGAAACAAAUCGCCUUGAUGAUUCUGCAAGGGUUGAUUUUUAUUCGAAUCUUGAAGUCCUCUCGGAAGUAUUACUUGAGUCGUAUUCUACUGCUAUCACAGCAAAAAUUGAACGAAAGGAAGAACACAGGACUCUAUUAGAGGAAUACUGGAACCGCAGAGAUGUCCUUCUUGACUCCCUUUAUCAACAAGUGAAAUCUUUUGUCCAAUCAAAACUCCAGGUUGGUUUUUUUUCUUUUUUUUUUUUUUUAAUAAUUAAAUUCCCUGGUAGAAGCUUCGUACGAGGUUCGGAAAUAGCAAGAAUAGUUGAACCUUUUCGUACCAUAUGAUCCUCUUCCAUCUUGAUGAUUUUAUGUAUUACUUUCCAAUCCAUGUCCCAUCUUAAGUAUACAGUGGAACUGCCAAUGUAGUUUUAGAUUAUAAUUAAAAAAGGGAAUGUCUUUAAUAUGUUUACGACUUAACUUUAUUGCUCUAAAAAAUAUUGUCAUAUAUGUUGUUAGAGAGUCAACACUCCACAUCAUUACUAUCAGUGAGAUGGUGUUUUAGGAAAUAGACCAUUAAUUUGGAAGUCCAACCUUGGUGCAUUCUUUUGCUACACCAUCUAAUGUUUAUAGUUGCCCAAUAUAUAGUUGUUUAUUGAAACAUUAAAGUUUAAGUUGAAAUGUAAAUAUAUAAUAGCUAGUGCAUGGAUGAAAGUACUAUGUAUAGUUCACUUUGGAAAACGAAAAUCUAGAAAUAGGCCACUUCCCAACAUUAACUAUACAUCUUUGUAAACAUUGUUGCUUGAAGGGAAGAAAUAUAUACUCUUCGAUAUGGAGGAAUAUAUGUGGAUCACAUCCAUAAUACAUUCGUAAUGUUGCAGGAUUCAGCUGUGGAAAACGAAGAACAGAACAAGGAUACUCUCAUGAAACUUUCUUCAAAGCUAUUAUCUAUUGCAAAGCGUCACGAGGGGUAUCAAACUAUGUGGAGCAUUUGCUGUGACCUGAAUCAUUCUGAACUCCUUCAAAGUCUCAUGGUAUGACUAAAUACUAUUAAGUUACCGUUAGUGCAACCCCACUGCUUACAGAGGCAAAGGCUUGGGCCUACUUGUUGUGGAUGCUGUUUCGUUUACUUUACAAAAAUAUAUGUAUAUAUAUUUUUUGUCAUUAGUAUUCCAGAGUUGUGAUGGGUCAUUUUGCACGUAAUGUUCUAAUUGCUCAAUCUUCUGUGCACCUUAUUUUUUUUACUCAAAAUAAAACCUUUUGUUUUGUAGCAAGAAAGUAUGGGUCCUAGAGGAGGUUUCAGUUGCUUUGUCUUCAAACAACUCUACGAAAGCAAACAGUUUUCGAAGCUUAUAAGGCUGGGCGAGGAGUUCCAGGCUGAGCUAGCUACAUUUCUGAAGCAGCAUCCAGAUCUUCUCUGGCUUCAUGAAGUGUUUCUUCAUCAAUUUUCCUCAGCUUCCGAAACUUUACAUGCAUUAUCUCUUUCUAAGGAUGAUGCAUCAAUUUCAACUAUUGACGAUACUGAAUCUAGCAGCUCGGGGCGUCAAUUAACUUUGGCGAACAGAAAGCAUUUUCUGAAUUUAGCAAAAAUAUCUGCAAUGGCAGGUAUUUUGCCCACCUGUAGUAUAUCCUUUUUCUGCCUUAGUGUCUCAUGUUAGAAAAUAUGUUUUUUGCAAACUAUACAUGCUUGUCUGUGAGUAGUAUGAUGAGAUAUUGAAUCUAAGUGGUCCCCCUUUCCACUUAUUGCUGCCAAGAAUGUGGUGUUCACAGCUACAAAUACCGUCUAAAUGCAUUUUUCUCAAAUAUCUUGCUGGGCGAUGACCAAGAAUUUAAUGAAAAAAAACUCUGUAUAAAUUUCUGACAAUAAAAAAGUACAUGCACUGAUUCAAUUAGAGAUAAAACAUAUAUAAAAUGGGAUAAAUACAAUUUAUUCAACCAUGCAGAAAGGAACAUGAUCAAAGUGUGACAGAAUAGUUUUUAGUAAUUGUGAUUGCUGGGCUAGUAAUUUCACGAUUGCAGAUGUAUGACUUAGUAGAGCAUGUGAGACAGAUCUAUUUUCACCUGAAUAGUGAUGUCAAUAUGUGAAAAUUUUCAGGAAGAAAGGAUGCGUACGAGCUAAAGAUGCAACGGAUCGAAGCAGAUCUGAACAUUUUACAGCUACAGGUAUGCUAAUGUACCAAAUUUUUAAUUGAUUGAAUCCUUUCUGAGGCUCGGAAACCCUUGGGAAUUCCUUAUUAUGCAGUUAAUCUGCAUAAAAAAAAUCAGCGGUCGGAUUCUUGGGAGUGUAUUCUCUAAAUUAUUUUCCAUAUUAAAUUUUUAAUUUACACUGGCUAAUUGACUAAGGCAGGGAUGUUUGAAUUUUCUCCCUCUAUUAUAAUUACGAAGAGUUCAAGUCUUUUCAGUUUGCACAUUUGUGUUAUACACGAAACAGCCUGUAAAUGUUGUUCUGUUGGAGCACGUUUUGUUGUUUUGAGGAAGGAUCGAUCAUAUUUGUGUUUAUCAGAUUUAUUCUGAUAUGAAAAUUAGUAAUUAAAAUUUUGGACAAAUAAAAAGUGGAUAUUCGAAGAUUUCGUAAUUCUAAAACUUAGCGGAAUGGACAAAUAUCUUUGUAUUUCGGAAAAAACUCUGGAACAUUUUGGAACGUAGGAUAUCCCUGCAAAGCUUCAUCAGAGAUCUGGUUUUCCUUCGAGUUGCAAGGGUGCAAAUGUAAUUAAGGUUUUAUUUCGGCUGAUGAAUGUAUGUUUUUGGCUUCUAUACUGGUGACUAGUGAGUUUGUUCUGUGAAAUUCUCAAAACACCAAUUGUUACUAUUAGUGAACUUUAGACUCCGAGCACUUGAAUUCAUCCAAGUUUAAAUCUAGCUGGAGAUUUGAUCAAAGCCUUAUCAUCGCUUCUCAACGUGACAUAUUCAUCUGUCCUUUAUUAUCACUCCAUUUGUUCUCUUUAUAGUUUAUGCUUACAAAUGGACAUUUGAAAAUUGAGAUUUGUAUUUAAAUGCAGGCCCUGGCCUGGAGAUUAAAAUCCUUAAAUAGCACAAUUUCGCUUUUUUCAGAAUUACAAGAACUUUCAUUCAGACUAACUUCCGUGUCUUACAGGAAGAAAUAUUGAGGCAAACACCAGAUAACGAGGAAAAACAAUCAAUUGAAGAGAAGCUUCUUCCUCCAAUUGACCUCAUCGAAUUGUGUCUCAAAAUCCAAACACGGGAUCUUUCAUUACGAGCCUUUGAUCUUUUCUCAUGGACCAGUGCCUCCUUUCUUAGAAGCAAUACGAACCUAUUGGAAGAAUGCUGGAGGAACGCUGCAAAUCAAGAUGAUUGGGAAAAACUGUACCAAAUGUCUAUGACCGAGGGAUGGAGCGACGAGACGACUGUGGACAUUCUUAAGGAAACAAUACUUUUUCAAGCCUCCAGCAAGUGUUAUGGGCCAGUGGCAGAAAAUCUUGAUGUUAAAUUCGAACAAGUUCUUCCACUGAGCCAAGAAAGUACCGAACACUCUGUAGAAGCUGUUCUCAGACAGCACAAAGAUUUCCCAGAUGCAGGGAAACUGAUGGUGAUGGCGAUUAUGCAUGGCAGUUUUUCGGUGGGUCCCACUGGAACGGACUACGAAGAUGAUUAUCCCAUGGAGUGAAAUAAUUGUUAUAAGGUAUGGGUUUAUUUGACUUGUGUAGUAUUUUCAAGAGUCUCUUUAAUUGCGAGGGGGUGUAGUAUUUUCUGGAAUUCUCGAACUCUGGAAUUUUGAAGUGGAUAUACGAGAUUGAUUAGAUUAAAAACAUGAUCAUGGUAAAAAAAGGCUCAACGAAACGGAAAGAGCAAUUCUCAUGUUCUUGAUUGUAGCUGUCAAAAUUGCUGUUGCUGGGUACUAGAUGUGUAAGCUUGUAUGGAUAGCAUGAAACGGAAAACAAUUUUUAAUAUGUCGUUUAAGUCGAAGUUUCUGUACCUGAGAAAUGCUAUACUGCAUCGAGAUACAAGUUGUAUGAUAGAUAUAUUUAUUCUCUAACCAACUGUAAGUAGGAGAAUUGGUAUUAUCUAAUACUGAGUAUUAUGUGUGACAUCUUGUUAUUUACUUUGCCGGGUGAAAUUUUGUAAGCCAAAAGGCGAAUAAUUCAUCAACCGUAAACGUGCAGAAAUUAGUUACCUAAAAGAGGAUUUUGUGCACAAAUUGAUGAUAAUUUGUCAGUGGUAAGUUAUGUGUAUUAAUAUUUAUAAAUCAUAAUGAAUAAACAGUCCAACCAACCAUAGUUAAAAUUUAAAACAUAGAUUGAUAUUAUGAAUGACACACAAUCUUUGAUCCAAUAUUGAUAUUGACAAUUAUAUAAAUAAAUAAAUAUUCAUAAGUCCCAUAUAAAAAGAAAAUAAGCAGAAUAGGAUUUCCCAUAUUUUUCAGUGGAAUUAAAUUAAAUGUGUGCUUGUGGAAUGUGUUGUGCCAUUGUGUGUGUGACUGUGUUUUUCGUGCACCAAGUGACAUGGCACUUUAAUUGGCUGAGAAUGGAUUACAUUUAGCAACAAAACUCCAAAUCAGAAUUCCCAAUGCCACAUGGCCAAAUGAAGACCUAGACUUCUCUUUAAACAAAAAUCUGGAGGGAAAUCUUGAUCCACCAAAACCAACCAAUCAGCUAAUGCUGACGUGUAGAUAUUGCAAUCCACAACAUAAUCCCAACUUCUAUUUAUACCCUCUUUGCACCACCCUUAUUCCUCACCACCAUCGAGCACAACAAACAAAAUCAAUUAGCAACAAAAAGAAAAAAAAAAACAAAAAAAAAAAAUGGCAACUUCAGCAAUUCAACAAUCUGCAUUCAGUGGGAAGACUGCUUUGAAGCCACAAAAUGAGCUGAUCAGGAAGAUCGGCAACGUCGGCGGCGGCCGCUUCACCAUGAGACGUACCGUCAAGAGCGCCCCUCAGAGCAUAUGGUAUAAUUUCCGCAAUUCGGUAAAUUUAUUAUUAAUUAAUUAUAUAUCUCAAUUUAUCGAAAAUAGGUACAGUUUCAAAAAUAUGGUUUGAUUUAGUGUAACAUGUAAAAUUUAUGUGUUUCAUCUAAUAAUAAUAAUGUGUAAUUUACUAUAAUUUUUAUUAUAUAUCUUGAUGAUUUAGGUACGGAGAAGACAGGCCCAAGUACUUGGGCCCAUUCUCCGAGCAGACCCCAUCGUACCUCACCGGUGAAUUCCCCGGUGACUACGGAUGGGACACUGCUGGGCUCUCGGCAGAUCCCGAGACAUUCGCCAAGAACCGUGAGCUGGAGGUGAUCCACAGUAGGUGGGCCAUGCUCGGCGCUCUGGGAUGCGUCUUCCCAGAGGUUCUAUCAAAGAACGGUGUCAAAUUUGGAGAGGCAGUGUGGUUCAAGGCCGGGUCAC